CUCUGGGCUCCACUCAUACAGAGGUUUUAGGGCCUGAGGAGGAAUAAUCUGGGGAAUAAAGUAGCAUUUCCACCAAAUUAGAAGCUGAGAUUCCUGCCUGGUUAUUUCAGUCUUCUCAUGACAAUGUGAACACACAAAAAGAUCAAAGCAGAGCCAGCAAGCCAAGCCACACCCAAAGGGAAGGCUGCUCUCCCUUUCUGCCCCAUUGCAGUGACACUGCUACGGCUGACGAGUUGCUGGAGGUUCUGAAGAUGAUCUCAUCUUAGGCUGUUUGGCUUUCCAAGCUCCCCUGCUGGCUCCCCCCUGUUUAGUCCCCAUCCUCUAGGCUAUUGUUUGACUUUGCCUGGCAC
Molecule: long non-coding RNA, 350 nt
Organism: Heterocephalus glaber (naked mole-rat)
Lineage: Eukaryota; Metazoa; Chordata; Mammalia; Rodentia; Bathyergidae
Source: Ensembl